GACGAACGCUGGCGGCGUGCCUAAUACAUGCAAGUAGAACGCUGAAGGAGGAGCUUGCUUCUCUGGAUGAGUUGCGAACGGGUGAGUAACGCGUAGGUAACCUGCCUGGUAGCGGGGGAUAACUAUUGGAAACGAUAGCUAAUACCGCAUAAGAGUAGAUGUUGCAUGGCAUUUGCUUAAAAGGUGCAAUUGCAUCACUACCAGAUGGACCUGCGUUGUAUUAGCUAGUUGGUGGGGUAACGGCUCACCAAGGCGACGAUACAUAGCCGACCUGAGAGGGUGAUCGGCCACACUGGGACUGAGACACGGCCCAGACUCCUACGGGAGGCAGCAGUAGGGAAUCUUCGGCAAUGGACGGAAGUCUGACCGAGCAACGCCGCGGGAGUGAAGAAGGUUUUCGGAUCGUAAAGCUCUGUUGUAAGAGAAGAACGAGUGUGAGAGUGGAAAGUUCACACUGUGACGGUAUCUUACCAGAAAGGGACGGCUAACUACGUG
RNAcentral lists this ribosomal RNA (495 nucleotides) under uncultured bacterium. RNAcentral's name for it is "partial 16S ribosomal RNA". It matches the Rfam family "Bacterial small subunit ribosomal RNA", at positions 28 to 507 of the family's 1533-position model. The record is from RNAcentral.